CCUACGGGAGGCAGCAGUGGGGAAUUUUGGACAAUGGGCGCAAGCCUGAUCCAGCAAUGCCGCGUGAGUGAAGAAGGCCUUCGGGUUGUAAAGCUCUUUUGUCAGGGAAGAAACGGCUGAGGUUAAUACCUUCGGCUAAUGACGGUACCUGAAGAAUAAGCACCGGCUAACUACGUGCCAGCAGCCGCGGUAAUACGUAGGGUGCAAGCGUUAAUCGGAAUUACUGGGCGUAAAGCGUGCGCAGGCGGUUUUGUAAGUCUGACGUGAAAUCCCCGGGCUCAACCUGGGAAUUGCGUUGGAGACUGCAAGGCUGGAGUCUGGCAGAGGGGGGUAGAAUUCCACGUGUAGCAGUGAAAUGCGUAGAGAUGUGGAGGAACACCGAUGGCGAAGGCAGCCCCCGUGGGUCAAGACUGACGCUCAUGCACGAAAGCGUGGGGAGCAAACAGGAUUAGAUACCCUGGUAGUCCACGCCCUAAACGAUGUCUACUAGUUGUCGGGUCUUAAUUGACUUGGUAACGCAGCUAACGCGUGAAGUAGACCGCCUGGGGAGUACGGUCGCAGAUUAAAACUCAAAGGAUUGACGG
Molecule: ribosomal RNA, 584 nt
Filed under: uncultured bacterium
Lineage: Bacteria
Description: bacterial SSU rRNA
Rfam family: Bacterial small subunit ribosomal RNA
Source: RNAcentral